GGUUGAGAGGGCGAGUAACGAAGAGUAUGGGUUGUUAGUCGUUAAAACGAGACGAGACGAGACGAGAUAUUUAACGACUAAAUAUCUAACCCUACCCCACCAAAACCACCCCCCAACCGCCCAAGUUCAGUCAAACACUCUUAACUCACGUUGAUUUUCAGCCCACACACAACUCACACACACUAACACCUAAAACACACACACCAUUCACGCAUAUACCAUUUUUAGCUUGAGCUCAAGCUUUUGAGCUCCGAUUUGAGCACCGAGAUGAACGCCGAUCAUCUUUUCGAUCACGUAUCUAAGUAGGUCCUUUUGGGAAGUAACGACUUGAGGGAGAGAGUGACGUUACUCAUUGAUACAGAGACACAACGAGGUUGAGCUGAUGUGAUGAUGGUGCUGCAAUGAGCGGAGUCUCCAGGGUUGUUAAUAAAUAGUUAACCUGUCUAGAAUAUGUCUUCAUACAUAUGUCUAGCUACUUUCCGCUGCAAGAUGUUGUUGAUGUUAUAGUAUGUUAUGUCAUACUUUAAGU
This is a long non-coding RNA of Salvia miltiorrhiza (redroot sage), 529 nucleotides long. RefSeq lists it as uncharacterized. The record is from RefSeq and is a predicted model, not a curated record. NCBI's taxonomy places the organism in Eukaryota, Viridiplantae, Streptophyta, Magnoliopsida, Lamiales, Lamiaceae. The transcript is spliced from 3 exons.